UAGGGAACAAAGCAGCAUGUAGGCAGG
RNAcentral lists this non-coding RNA (27 nucleotides) under Mus musculus (house mouse). The record is from RNAcentral. Lineage: Eukaryota; Metazoa; Chordata; Mammalia; Rodentia; Muridae.